RNAcentral lists this ribosomal RNA (216 nucleotides) under Glomeromycotina sp. Its description in RNAcentral is "partial small subunit ribosomal RNA". The stretch from base 40 to 216 matches the Rfam family "Eukaryotic small subunit ribosomal RNA", at positions 686 to 864 of the family's 1831-position model. The record is from RNAcentral. Lineage: Eukaryota; Fungi; Glomeromycota.
GGGUCAGUAGGUUGGUCGUGCCACCGGUACGUACUGGUCUCACUGAUUCCUCCUUCCUGAUGAACCGUAAUGCCAUUAAUUUGGUGUUGCGGGGAAACAGGACUGUUACUUUGAAAAAAUUAGAGAGUUUAAAGCAAGCUAACGCUUGAAUACAUUAGCAUGGAAUAAUGAAAUAGGACGAUCGAUCCUAUUUUGUUGGUUUCUAGGAUUGACGUA